This 580-nucleotide small RNA is filed under the name Pan troglodytes (chimpanzee). RNAcentral describes it as "processed transcript". Lineage: Eukaryota; Metazoa; Chordata; Mammalia; Primates; Hominidae. The record is from RNAcentral.
AUAUUGAGAUGGAGUUACCAGGGCUGAAGUAGAAAAGUCAGAGCAAAACCACGCCUGUGUCUUCCUCCUGCCUCAGGGACGAACACCUUCCUUCCAGGCUCAGCAGACCCUGGGUUCCACCAUUGACAAAGCUACCGGGAUCCUGUUAUAUGGCUUGGCCUCCCGACUCAGGGAUACCCGGCGUCUCUCCUUCCUUGUAAGCUACAUAGCCAGUAAGAAGAUCCACACUGAGCCCCAGCUAAGCGCUGCCCUUGAGUAUGUGCGGAGUCACCCCUUGGACCCCAUCGACACUGUGGACUUCGAGCGGGAAUGUGGCGUGGGUGUCAUUGUGACCCCAGAGCAGAUUGAGGAGGCUGUGGAGGCUGCUAUUAACAGGCACCGGCCCCAGCUCCUGGUGGAACGUUACCAUUUCAACAUGGGGCUGCUGAUGGGAGAGGCUCGGGCUGUGCUGAAGUGGGCAGAUGGCAAAAUGAUCAAGAAUGAAGUGGACAUGCAGCCUGGGCAACAUGAGCAAGACUCCAGUCUGGGCAACAAGAGCAAGAGCAUUUUAAGCUAGCAGACCCACAUGAGGAGAAGAGAU